GACGAACGCUGGCGGCGUGCCUAAUACAUGCAAGUAGAACGCACAGUUUAUACCGUAGCUUGCUACACCAUAGACUGUGAGUUGCGAACGGGUGAGUAACGCGUAGGUAACCUGCCUGGUAGCGGGGGAUAACUAUUGGAAACGAUAGCUAAUACCGCAUAAUAUUAAUUAUUGCAUGAUAAUUAAUUGAAAGGUGCAAUUGCACCACUACCAGAUGGACCUGCGUUGUAUUAGCUAGUAGGUGAGGUAACGGCUAACCUAGGCGACGAUACAUAGCCGACCUGAGAGGGUGAUCGGCCAACCUGGGACUGGGACACGGCCCAGACUCCUACGGGAGGCAGCAGUAGGGAAUCUUCGGCAAUGGACGAAAGUCGGACCGAGCAACGCCGCGUGAGUGAAGAAGGUUUUCGGAUCGUAAAGCUCUGUUGUAAGAGAAGAACGGGUGUGAGAGUGGAAAGUUCACACUGUGACGGUAUCUUAACAGAAAGGGACGGCUAACUACGUG
Molecule: ribosomal RNA, 505 nt
Filed under: uncultured bacterium
Lineage: Bacteria
Description: partial 16S ribosomal RNA
Rfam family: Bacterial small subunit ribosomal RNA
Source: RNAcentral